GACUCUGUAACUCAGUUGGCUGUCCAGAGUGCUGCGCUGGAAUCGCUGGGCUGCAGGUUCGAUUCCUGCACUCA
This 74-nucleotide transfer RNA is filed under the name Paramuricea clavata. Its description in RNAcentral is "tRNA-Ser". The record is from RNAcentral. Lineage: Eukaryota; Metazoa; Cnidaria; Anthozoa; Malacalcyonacea; Plexauridae.